UUAACUCAUAUUUGUAUGGAAUGGGAUCGUUUGCGUACGUUUGCCGCUAGGGGCGCUGUUCCAACUGCAUACAAAAUUGGCUUA
RNAcentral lists this microRNA precursor (84 nucleotides) under Bombyx mori (domestic silkworm). Its description in RNAcentral is "mir-2807 microRNA precursor family". It matches the Rfam family "mir-2807 microRNA precursor family". The record is from Rfam by way of RNAcentral. Lineage: Eukaryota; Metazoa; Arthropoda; Insecta; Lepidoptera; Bombycidae.